UGGGGAAUUUUGGACAAUGGGCGAAAGCCUGAUCCAGCAAUGCCGCGUGUGUGAAGAAGGCCUUCGGGUUGUAAAGCACUUUUGUCCGGAAAGAAAUCCUUGGCUCUAAUACAGUCGGGGGAUGACGGUACCGGAAGAAUAAGCACCGGCUAACUACGUGCCAGCAGCCGCGGUAAUACGUAGGGUGCAAGCGUUAAUCGGAAUUACUGGGCGUAAAGCGUGCGCAGGCGGUUUGCUAAGACCGAUGUGAAAUCCCCGGGCUCAACCUGGGAACUGCAUUGGUGACUGGCAGGCUAGAGUAUGGCAGAGGGGGGUAGAAUUCCACGUGUAGCAGUGAAAUGCGUAGAGAUGUGGAGGAAUACCGAUGGCGAAGGCAGCCCCCUGGGCCAAUACUGACGCUCAUGCACGAAAGCGUGGGGAGCAAACAGGAUUAGAUACCCUGGUAGUCCACGCCCUAAAACGAUGUCAACUAGUUGUUGGGGAUUCAUUUCCUAGUAACGUAGCUAACGCGUGAAGUUGACCGCCUGGGGAAGUACGGUCGCAAGAUUAAAACUCAAAUGAAUUGACGGGGUCAUAGCUGUUUCCU
This 586-nucleotide ribosomal RNA is filed under the name uncultured bacterium. Its description in RNAcentral is "partial 16S ribosomal RNA". It matches the Rfam family "Bacterial small subunit ribosomal RNA", at positions 355 to 1375 of the family's 1533-position model. The record is from RNAcentral.